GGCGAACGCUGGCGGCGUGCUUAACACAUGCAAGUCGAACGGUGAAGGGGCCUGCUUUUGUGGGCCCUGGAUGAGUGGCGAACGGGUGAGUAACACGUGAGUAACCUGCCCCCUUCUUCUGGAUAACCGCAUGAAAGUGUGGCUAAUACGGGAUAUUCUGGGUCUGUCGCAUGAUGGGUCUGGGAAAGAUUGCGCCUUUGGGUGUUUUUGGUGGGGGAUGGGCUCGCGGCCUAUCAGCUUGUUGGUGGGGUGAUGGCCUACCAAGGCGGUGACGGGUAGCCGGCCUGAGAGGGUGGACGGUCACACUGGGACUGAGACACGGCCCAGACUCCUACGGGAGGCAGCAGUGGGGAAUAUUGCACAAUGGGCGCAAGCCUGAUGCAGCGACGCCGCGUGAGGGAUGGAGGCCUUCGGGUUGUAAACCUCUUUCGCCAGUGAAGCAGGCCUGCUCCUUGUGGGUGGGUUGACGGUAGCUGGAUAAGAAGCGCCGGCUAACUACGUG
RNAcentral lists this ribosomal RNA (502 nucleotides) under uncultured bacterium. RNAcentral describes it as "partial 16S ribosomal RNA". It matches the Rfam family "Bacterial small subunit ribosomal RNA", at positions 28 to 507 of the family's 1533-position model. The record is from RNAcentral.